RNAcentral lists this ribosomal RNA (253 nucleotides) under uncultured bacterium. RNAcentral's name for it is "partial 16S ribosomal RNA". It matches the Rfam family "Bacterial small subunit ribosomal RNA", at positions 524 to 776 of the family's 1533-position model. The record is from RNAcentral.
UACGAACUGUGCGAACGUUAUUCGGAAUCACUGGGCUUACAGGGUGCGUAGGCGGCUUUUCAAGUCAGGUGUGAAAGCCCCCGGCUCAACCGGGGAAUUGCGCUUGAAACUGGAGAGCUCGAGUCAGCUAGAGGUGCACGGAACUUCCAGUGGAGCGGUGAAAUGUGUUGAUAUUGGAAGGAACACCAGAGGCGUAAGCGGUGCACUGGGGCUGGUCUGACGCUGAGGCACGAAAGCCAGGGUAGCGAACGGG